ACGCCUACGGGAGGCAGCAGUGGGGAAUAUUGCACAAUGGGGGAAACCCUGAUGCAGCGACGCCGCGUGAAGGACGAAGUAUUUCGGUACGUAAACUUCUAUCAGCAGGGAAGAAAAUGACGGUACCUGACCAAGAAGCCCCGGCUAACUACGUGCCAGCAGCCGCGGUAAUACGUAGGGGGCAAGCGUUAUCCGGAUUUACUGGGUGUAAAGGGUGCGUAGGCGGAAGGUUAAGUCAGCGGUCAAAUGUCGGUGCUCAACACCGGCCUGCCGUUGAAACUGGUCUUCUUGAGUGAGCGAGAAGG
RNAcentral lists this ribosomal RNA (305 nucleotides) under uncultured bacterium. RNAcentral's name for it is "bacterial SSU rRNA". It matches the Rfam family "Bacterial small subunit ribosomal RNA", at positions 335 to 658 of the family's 1533-position model. The record is from RNAcentral.